CUCACCAGCCCCAAAAUGAAGGCUGAGGGGACAGAGCUACAGACCUGGGCAACAGUCCGGUAACAACAGCACCCUGCUCCUGGGGCAGGGUGAGGGGCGUCCCUACCUGAGAAGUUUAAUUGGUGAGCCCAAGGAAAGAGGGUGGAGGCAAACAAAACAGUACAUUCAUCACUUGUUAAAUAUUCUAUCGAACAUUUGCUCUGGAUUAAGUAGAGGAAAACAAAGAAGAAAACCAAAAUCACUAUUCACAACAAGGAGGUGGUAUUCUCACACACAUCGGAGGAACAUAAAAAAAAAUCUGUUGAGAUAAAACAAGUAUGACUGUGCUAUCCCUGAAUACUGCUCACAGACAUCACCAAAUGUGGAGCCAAGGUUUUUCUUGCCUUGCAUUUACAAGGUGAAAACUUGUUUUAAAAUGAGCAACUUAAAAUACCCUAUGACCAUCACAUGAUUCACCCAGAUGUAAGCUGAUCACUUGGAGCUUGUGUUUGUGGGUGUUUAAAGUAAGAAUGACAAAAGUAGAAACAGCUUGCCAUGGACAUUCACUUAUGUGAUCAGAAGAAUUGGAUCUUAUUCCCUUUUACCUUUUUUCCCUAACAAAUGUAAAAUAAAUAUCUUUUUUGGAACAUGA
Long non-coding RNA from Lagenorhynchus albirostris (white-beaked dolphin), 631 nucleotides. RefSeq lists it as uncharacterized. The transcript has 4 exons. Lineage: Eukaryota; Metazoa; Chordata; Mammalia; Artiodactyla; Delphinidae. The record is from RefSeq and is a predicted model, not a curated record.